AUCUAGCUUUCGUGCUGCCGUGUCCCAUGCCUGUUGUUUGAGUGCCAUCGAAGGUCCCCCGCAUCGUCUCCCCAUAAUAGGUUUUAUACAUGGUGGGCUAAUUUCAGUUUGGGUAGCUUCAUGUUUGAUUGUGUUGGUUAGAAUGCAGGUUAUCAAGGCCAAAAAGACAAGGCUUGGGCGUGCCCAGAAGACCAAUAUAUGCUCAUUAUUCUACUGCAUUGGAACUCUAGUUGUGUUAACCGGUGAUUACUUGUUGUAUGCUAGACCAUUGGAUUGCGCCUUGCUGAUACCCACAGGCCCAGCUUGUUGAAGUGAAUGCACAUUGUUUGUUCAGUAAAUGGUUCUCUGAAAGUGGCAAGCUGGUAUGUAUACAUGCUUUUAUGUUUCUCACUCUUUCUUGCUGUAAUGGAUUUGGUUGUUGAAGUGAAUGCACAUUGUUUGCUUAUUGUUUGUUCAGUAAAUUAGUUCAUGUCAUCCCCAUCUGGACACUUAA
Long non-coding RNA from Glycine soja, 493 nucleotides. RefSeq lists it as uncharacterized. The record is from RefSeq and is a predicted model, not a curated record. The transcript has 3 exons. NCBI's taxonomy places the organism in Eukaryota, Viridiplantae, Streptophyta, Magnoliopsida, Fabales, Fabaceae.